CCCUUAGAUGUUCUGGGCUGCACGCGCGCUACACUGAUGCUUUCAUCGAGUAUAUAACCUUACCAGACAUGGUUGGGUAAUCUUUUGAAACAGCAUCGUGAUGGGGAUAGAUUAUUGUAAUUAUUAGUCUUCAACGAGGAAUUCCUAGUAAGCGCGAAUCAUCAGUUCGUGCUGAUUACGUCCCUGCCCUUUGUACACACCGCCCGUCGCUCCUACCGAUUGAGUAAUCCGGUGAAUAAUUCGGACCGAUUGCGAUGUCAGUUCCUGACGCCGCAGACGGAAAGUCUAGUGAACCUUAUUACUUAGAGGAAGGAGAAGUCGUAACA
RNAcentral lists this ribosomal RNA (326 nucleotides) under uncultured eukaryote. Its description in RNAcentral is "partial 18S ribosomal RNA". It matches the Rfam family "Eukaryotic small subunit ribosomal RNA", at positions 1470 to 1796 of the family's 1831-position model. The record is from RNAcentral.